This 402-nucleotide ribosomal RNA is filed under the name bacterium. RNAcentral describes it as "partial 16S ribosomal RNA". It matches the Rfam family "Bacterial small subunit ribosomal RNA", at positions 355 to 776 of the family's 1533-position model. The record is from RNAcentral.
UGGGGAAUUUUGCACAAUGGGGGAAACCCUGAUGCAGCGACGCCGCGUGGUUUAGAAGGCCUUCGGGUUGUAAAAAUCUUUUCUAUGGGAAGAAAAUGACAGUACCAUAGGAAUAAGGACCGGCUAAUUACGUGCCAGCAGCCGCGGUAAUACGUAAGGUCCGAGCGUUGUCCGGAAUCAUUGGGCGUAAAGGGUACGUAGGCGGGUAAGCAAGUUAGAAGUGAAAUCCUAUAGCUCAACUAUAGUAAGCUUUUAAAACUGCUCAUCUUGAGGUAUGGAAGGGAAAGUGGAAUUCCUAGUGUAGCGGUGAAAUGCGCAGAUAUUAGGAGGAAUACCGGUGGCGAAGGCGACUUUCUGGCCAUAACCUGACGCUGAGGUACGAAAGCGUGGGUAGCAAACAGG